This 496-nucleotide ribosomal RNA is filed under the name uncultured bacterium. RNAcentral describes it as "partial 16S ribosomal RNA". It matches the Rfam family "Bacterial small subunit ribosomal RNA", at positions 29 to 507 of the family's 1533-position model. The record is from RNAcentral.
AUGAACGCUGGCGGCGUGCCUCAUCCAUGCAAGUCGCGCGAACAGAUAAGGAGCUUGCUCCUUUGACGUUAGCGGCGGACGGGUGAGUAACACGUGGGUAACCUACCUAUAAGACUGGAAUAACUCCGGGAAACCGGGGCUAAUGCCGGAUAACAUUUAGAACCGCAUGGUUCUAAAGUGAAAGAUGGUUUUGCUAUCACUUAUAGAUGGACCCGCGCCGUAUUAGCUAGUUGGUAAGGUAACGGCUUACCAAGGCAACGAUACGUAGCCGACCUGAGAGGGUGAUCGGCCACACUGGAACUGAGACACGGUCCAGACUCCUACGGGAGGCAGCAGUAGGGAAUCUUCCGCAAUGGGCGAAAGCCUGACGGAGCAACGCCGCGUGAGUGAUGAAGGUCUUCGGAUCGUAAAACUCUGUUAUUAGGGAAGAACAAAUGUGUAAGUAACUGUGCACGUCUUGACGGUACCUAAUCAGAAAGCCACGGCUAACUACGUG